Non-coding RNA from Oryzias latipes (Japanese medaka), 45 nucleotides. Lineage: Eukaryota; Metazoa; Chordata; Actinopteri; Beloniformes; Adrianichthyidae. The record is from Rfam.
ACAAAGGCUCUUUUAGGAGCCAUCCACAAAACCUUCAAGAGCUUG